UACGGAGGGUGCAAACGUUGCUCGGAAUCAUUGGGCGUAAAGCGCACGUAGGCGGCCCGUUAAGUCGGGUGUGAAAUCCCCCCGGCUCAACUGGGGAACUGCACAGGAAACUAGCGGGCUUGAGUUCGGGAGAGGGAAGCGGAAUUCCGGGUGUAGCGGUGAAAUGCGUAGAUAUCCGGAGGAACACCGAUGGCGAAGGCAGGUCUCUGGGCCACUACUGACGCUGAGAAGCGAAAGCAUGGGGAGCGAACAGG
RNAcentral lists this ribosomal RNA (254 nucleotides) under uncultured bacterium. RNAcentral's name for it is "partial 16S ribosomal RNA". It matches the Rfam family "Bacterial small subunit ribosomal RNA", at positions 524 to 776 of the family's 1533-position model. The record is from RNAcentral.